This 108-nucleotide ribosomal RNA is filed under the name Jaculus jaculus (lesser Egyptian jerboa). The record is from RNAcentral. Lineage: Eukaryota; Metazoa; Chordata; Mammalia; Rodentia; Dipodidae.
GUCUACAACCACAUCACCCUGAAUGAACCAGAUCUCGUCUGAUUUUAGAAGCUAAGCAGGGUUGGGCCUGGUUAGUACUUGGAUAGGAGAACCACCUAGAGAUGGAUC